RNAcentral lists this transfer RNA (72 nucleotides) under Camelus bactrianus (Bactrian camel). It matches the Rfam family "tRNA". Rfam says of the family: Transfer RNA (tRNA) molecules are approximately 80 nucleotides in length. Their secondary structure includes four short double-helical elements and three loops (D, anti-codon, and T loops). RNAcentral also lists the same sequence under 2 other names. The record is from Rfam by way of RNAcentral. Lineage: Eukaryota; Metazoa; Chordata; Mammalia; Artiodactyla; Camelidae.
GAGGGUAUAGCUCAGUGGCAGAGCAUGUGCUUGUUAUGUAUGAGGUCCUGGGUUCAAUCCCCAGCACCUCCA